This is a ribosomal RNA of 433 nucleotides. It matches the Rfam family "Bacterial large subunit ribosomal RNA", at positions 1 to 465 of the family's 2925-position model.
GGGUUGUGAGGUUAAGCGACUAAGCGUACACGGUGGAUGCCCUGGCAGUCAGAGGCGAUGAAGGACGUGCUAAUCUGCGAAAAGCGCCGGCGAGGUGAUAUGAACCUUUGACCCGGCGAUGUCCGAAUGGGGAAACCCAGUGUGUUCCGACACACUAUCGUUAACUGAAUACAUAGGUUAACGAGGCGAACCGGGGGAACUGAAACAUCUAAGUACCCCGAGGAAAAGAAAUCAACCGAGAUUCCCCCAGUAGCGGCGAGCGAACGGGGAGCAGCCCAGAGUCUGAAUCAGCUUGUGUGUUAGUGGAAGCGUCUGGAAAGUCCGGCGAUACAGGGUGAUAGCCCCGUACACGAAAGCACACUUGCUGUGAACUCGAAGAGUAGGGCGGGACACGUGGUAUCCUGUCUGAAUAUGGGGGGACCAUCCUCCAAGG